AUAAGACGCUAGGGGAGCCUUUGGCUGAGAACGUGGGACAGGGAUAAGCUCACGGACCCUCACUACCUGAACGGGAUAAUUCCUGCGUAGGGAAGCUGGAACGUGGUUUC
This 110-nucleotide non-coding RNA is filed under the name Blautia sp. CAG:37. RNAcentral's name for it is "TPP riboswitch aptamer (THI element)". It matches the Rfam family "TPP riboswitch aptamer (THI element)". From Rfam's summary of the family: Vitamin B(1) in its active form thiamin pyrophosphate (TPP) is an essential coenzyme that is synthesised by coupling of pyrimidine and thiazole moieties in bacteria. Lineage: Bacteria; Bacillati; Bacillota; Clostridia; Lachnospirales; Lachnospiraceae. RNAcentral also lists the same sequence under 1 other name. The record is from Rfam by way of RNAcentral.